UGUCCCUUCUCUAAUGAUUGACAGGUUUAGUGCCUGGUAGUAAGGGUAUUUUGUGGUCUAUUGUCCUCCUAGGAGGUCACUCUGUAGGCUCAGCAAACAAUUCACUGAAGCCAUUCAAGACCGGUUGCAGGGCAGACAGACCAUUGACUUGACAUGACCGUAAUACAUACAGAAUAGGAAGGAUAAGCUAUAAGAUAGAGAUCCGGAUUGUUGUGCUCCGGAAUAAAGAAGAAUACCAUCUUGUCUAAUCAAAUACGAAUACCAUCUUAUUGAUUUAGUCAGCUUGCAUCAACACAUAAGAUGUGAUAUGAGUAGUGGGAAAUAAACUCUUCUUUGAUCACUUGAAACAUAGUAGAAAGCAUCCAAAACAGAAUGAAAUGUUGUUCAAAAGAAGAAGCUACCUGGCCCAACCACUACACCAUUUUGCCUAAUGUGUGACUACCCAUAUCAGUUACAACAUCUUCCGUUUCCAAGUUUUCAGUGCCUUUUUCUUAUAGUAUACAAAAUCAGAUUCUGGAUUGCUCUUCAUUUCGUUCAAUUUAUCCCCUUGCUUUUCAACGUAUAUAUAUUAACCCGCCUUGUUUACCUAUUUCUUCUACAAUUCACAUGACU
Molecule: long non-coding RNA, 612 nt
Filed under: Hordeum vulgare
Lineage: Eukaryota; Viridiplantae; Streptophyta; Magnoliopsida; Poales; Poaceae
Description: long non-coding RNA (HVUL_LNC004343)
Source: RNAcentral